GCUUAGCAUGAAGUGAAGCACAUACACCCGCUGAAUUUAAGCAUAUAAGUAAGUGGUGGAAAUUAAACCAAAUGGGAUAUCUUUAGUAAUUGCGAAUGAACAAGGAUAUGCUUAGCUUGACAAAUGGAGCUAUUGGCUUUGAAUUGUAUUGUGGAAAUGUAUUACCAACAGAGGUGCAGGUGCCAGCCUAUUGAAAUAAAGCGUCAAUGAGGGUGAGAAUCCUGUUUGUCAUGUGCAGCCCUUUGUGCACGGUGUAUAUUUGCUGAGUCACACUCCUUGGCAUUGGAAUGCAAAGUGGGUGGUAAGUUUCAUGUAAAGGUAAACAUGCAAUUGAGACUGAUAGCACACAAGUACCAUGAGGGAAAUAUGAAAAGGACUUUGAAAAGAGAAUUAAAUGAGUUUGUAUUUGCUGAACACAAAGUAAACAGACUUGAUUUGCUUGGUGGGAGUGUUGCACUUGCUUGACAAGAGCUUUGGGCUGUGGGUGUAAUGAUUCUUUCUUUGCAUGCCAGUUUCUAUUUGUACAUCUGAUUACCUUUGCACAUGAAUGAUAAGUCUCCUGUGGGGGGUGGAUUGCAUGUGCAUGUAAUGAUUUGUGUUUUGAUACAUGUGUCUGGUGUAUGUGUGUGUUCCUGUGCUUGGGGAUGCUUCCUUCCUUGGACUUACAAGCCCUGACACACACAUGCUGGCAAAAUGCUUCUGCUUGACCCGUCUUGAAACACGGACCAAGGAGUCUAACAGAUGUGCAAAGUUUGAAGGUGGUAUACCUUUGUGUGCAAUGAAAGUGUCAGCUGGGAUAUGUGCACCAGCACCCAAUUAAUUAGCGGACAGAGGUUGAUUG
Molecule: ribosomal RNA, 841 nt
Filed under: Alexandrium tamarense
Lineage: Eukaryota; Dinophyceae; Gonyaulacales; Pyrocystaceae
Description: LSU rRNA
Rfam family: Eukaryotic large subunit ribosomal RNA
Source: RNAcentral